AGAGUUUGAUCAUGGCUCAGAUUGAACGCUGGCGGCAGGCCUAACACAUGCAAGUCGAACGGUAACAGGAAACAGCUUGCUGUUUCGCUGACGAGUGGCGGACGGGUGAGUAAUGUCUGGGAAACUGCCUGAUGGAGGGGGAUAACUACUGGAAACGGUAGCUAAUACCGCAUAACGUCGCAAGACCAAAGAGGGGGACCUUCGGGCCUCUUGCCAUCGGAUGUGCCCAGAUGGGAUUAGCUAGUAGGUGGGGUAACGGCUCACCUAGGCGACGAUCCCUAGCUGGUCUGAGAGGAUGACCAGCCACACUGGAACUGAGACACGGUCCAGACUCCUACGGGAGGCAGCAGUGGGGAAUAUUGCACAAUGGGCGCAAGCCUGAUGCAGCCAUGCCGCGUGUAUGAAGAAGGCCUUCGGGUUGUAAAGUACUUUCAGCGGGGAGGAAGGGAGUAAAGUUAAUACCUUUGCUCAUUGACGUUACCCGCAGAAGAAGCACCGGCUAACUCCGUGCCAGCAGCCGCGGUAAUACGGAGGGUGCAAGCGUUAAUCGGAAUUACUGGGCGUAAAGCGCACGCAGGCGGUUUGUUAAGUCAGAUGUGAAAUCCCCGGGCUCAACCUGGGAACUGCAUCUGAUACUGGCAAGCUUGAGUCUCGUAGAGGGGGGUAGAAUUCCAGGUGUAGCGGUGAAAUGCGUAGAGAUCUGGAGGAAUACCGGUGGCGAAGGCGGCCCCCUGGACGAAGACUGACGCUCAGGUGCGAAAGCGUGGGGAGCAAACAGGAUUAGAUACCCUGGUAGUCCACGCCGUAAACGAUGUCGACUUGGAGGUUGUGCCCUUGAGGCGUGGCUUCCGGAGCUAACGCGCUAAGUCGACCGCCUGGGGAGUACGGCCGCAAGGUUAAAACUCAAAUGAAUUGACGGGGGCCCGCACAAGCGGUGGAGCAUGUGGUUUAAUUCGAUGCAACGCGAAGAACCUUACCUGGUCUUGACAUCCACGGAAGUUUUCAGAGAUGAGAAUGUGCCUUCGGGAACCGUGAGACAGGUGCUGCAUGGCUGUCGUCAGCUCGUGUUGUGAAAUGUUGGGUUAAGUCCCGCAACGAGCGCAACCCUUAUCCUUUGUUGCCAGCGGUCCGGCCGGGAACUCAAAGGAGACUGCCAGUGAUAAACUGGAGGAAGGUGGGGAUGACGUCAAGUCAUCAUGGCCCUUACGACCAGGGCUACACACGUGCUACAAUGGCGCAUACAAAGAGAAGCGACCUCGCGAGAGCAAGCGGACCUCAUAAAGUGCGUCGUAGUCCGGAUUGGAGUCUGCAACUCGACUCCAUGAAGUCGGAAUCGCUAGUAAUCGUGGAUCAGAAUGCCACGGUGAAUACGUUCCCGGGCCUUGUACACACCGCCCGUCACACCAUGGGAGUGGGUUGCAAAAGAAGUAGGUAGCUUAACCUUCGGGAGGGCGCUUACCACUUUGUGAUUCAUGACUGGGGUGAAGUCGUAACAAGGUAACCGUAGGGGAACCUGCGGUUGGAUCACCU
This 1530-nucleotide ribosomal RNA is filed under the name Escherichia coli P0299438.2. Its description in RNAcentral is "bacterial SSU rRNA". It matches the Rfam family "Bacterial small subunit ribosomal RNA". The record is from RNAcentral. Lineage: Bacteria; Pseudomonadati; Pseudomonadota; Gammaproteobacteria; Enterobacterales; Enterobacteriaceae.